GAUGUGCCACACCAUUCCCCUGUCUCUGUGCAUGUAGGAAAAUACCUAUGCGAUAAUUAAUGCUGAUUGAUUUCGAGUCCAUAAUAUAUGCACUUAUUAGAGACCCAUCUUGUUUGUUUGCAUUAAGCUUCACCACUGUAAGAGCAUCACCUUCAAUCUUCGCAUCCAAAAAACCCAAACCAAUACCCAUUUCGACAGCCUGGAAACAUGCAAGAGCCUCCGCAGCAAAAACCGUAGGUAUGUUGUUAUGUAUAGUUGUACUAGAUCCUAACACAAAACCAUUAGAGUUUCUAACAACAAUCCUUGUACACGAUCUCUUCGUAUGGCUUUGAAAGGAACCAUCAUAGUUGAUCCUUACUAAAGGGGACUCCAGCGGCCUCCAUCUUUUAGAUUCCACCCUUCUAACAAGUAAUCGCUUGUUAAUAGCAUCUAGUUCCCAAAUAUAAGAAAUGAUUAUAUUGGUUGUUUCUUGAAUUGUUUGUAUGACCCCUGCAUGAAUUACUUUGUUUUUUGCUGUCCAAAUUGCCCAAAUUGCACAAGCCACAAUUCUGUAGUGAUAAU
RNAcentral lists this long non-coding RNA (561 nucleotides) under Gossypium barbadense (sea-island cotton). Its description in RNAcentral is "long non-coding RNA (GBAR_LNC013322)". The record is from RNAcentral. Lineage: Eukaryota; Viridiplantae; Streptophyta; Magnoliopsida; Malvales; Malvaceae.